GAGAGUAUAGCUCAGUGGUAGAGUGUAUGCAUGCUGUAUGCAAGAGGUCCUAGGUUCAAUUCCCAGUACCUCCA
Molecule: transfer RNA, 74 nt
Filed under: Camelus bactrianus (Bactrian camel)
Lineage: Eukaryota; Metazoa; Chordata; Mammalia; Artiodactyla; Camelidae
Also listed under: 2 other names
Rfam family: tRNA
About the family: Transfer RNA (tRNA) molecules are approximately 80 nucleotides in length. Their secondary structure includes four short double-helical elements and three loops (D, anti-codon, and T loops).
Source: Rfam by way of RNAcentral